AUCUCCUCAGGGCCGGAAGGAAGC
RNAcentral lists this non-coding RNA (24 nucleotides) under uncultured Bolidomonas. The record is from RNAcentral. Lineage: Eukaryota; Bolidophyceae.